GUCUACAGCCAUGCCACCCUGAACCAGCCCGAUCGCAUCUGAUCUUGGAAGCUAAGCAGGGUCAGGCCUGGUUAGUACCUGGAUGGGAGACUGCCUAGGAAGACCGGCUGCUGUAGGUG
Molecule: ribosomal RNA, 119 nt
Filed under: Pteropus alecto (black flying fox)
Lineage: Eukaryota; Metazoa; Chordata; Mammalia; Chiroptera; Pteropodidae
Source: RNAcentral